Molecule: ribosomal RNA, 322 nt
Filed under: uncultured eukaryote
Lineage: Eukaryota
Description: partial 18S ribosomal RNA
Rfam family: Eukaryotic small subunit ribosomal RNA
Source: RNAcentral
CCCUUAGAUGUUCUGGGCCGCACGCGUGCUACACUGAGUGGAUCAGCGGGUCAGGUUGCGCGAAAGUGUUUCCUAAUCUUGAAAUCCGCUCGUGAUGGGGAUUGACGGUUGCAAUUUUCCGUCAUGAACGAGGAAUACCUUGUAAGCGCGGGUCAUCAUCCCGCGCUGAAUACGUCCCUGCCCUUUGUACACACCGCCCGUCGCUCCUACCGAUUGAGUGGUCCGGUGAGGCUUUGGGAUCUGAGCGGAAAGAGCGUUUCGCUGUUUCUGCUCGGAAAACUCAGUCGAACCUUAUCAUUGAGAGGAAGGAGAAGUCGUAACA